RNAcentral lists this ribosomal RNA (515 nucleotides) under uncultured bacterium. RNAcentral's name for it is "partial 16S ribosomal RNA". It matches the Rfam family "Bacterial small subunit ribosomal RNA", at positions 28 to 523 of the family's 1533-position model. The record is from RNAcentral.
GAUGAACGCUGGCGGCGUGCCUAAUACAUGCAAGUCGAGCGAAUGGAUUAAGAGCUUGCUCUUAUGAAGUUAGCGGCGGACGGGUGAGUAACACGUGGGUAACCUGCCCAUAAGACUGGGAUAACUCCGAGAAACCGGGGCUAAUACCGGAUAACAUUUUGAACCGCAUGGUUCGAAAUUGAAAGGCGGCUUCGGCUGUCACUUAUGGAUGGACCCGCGUCGCAUUAGCUAGUUGGUGAGGUAACGGCUCACCAAGGCAACGAUGCGUAGCCGACCUGAGAGGGUGAUCGGCCACACUGGGACUGAGACACGGCCCAGACUCCUACGGGAGGCAGCAGUAGGGAAUCUUCCGCAAUGGACGAAGGUCUGACGGAGCAACGCCGCGUGAGUGAUGAAGGCUUUCGGGUCGUAAAACUCUGUUGUUAGGGAAGAACAAGUGCUAGUUGAAUAAGCUGGCACCUUGACGGUACCUAACCAGAAAGCCACGGCUAACUACGUGCCAGCAGCCGCCGUAA